GGUAGGAUGGUCGAGUGACUGGCGGAAGGCUGUAAACCUUCAGACGGGUUUAAUUCCCUCCUACCA
This 66-nucleotide transfer RNA is filed under the name Zootoca vivipara (common lizard). RNAcentral describes it as "tRNA-Tyr". It matches the Rfam family "tRNA". From Rfam's summary of the family: Transfer RNA (tRNA) molecules are approximately 80 nucleotides in length. Their secondary structure includes four short double-helical elements and three loops (D, anti-codon, and T loops). The record is from RNAcentral. Lineage: Eukaryota; Metazoa; Chordata; Lepidosauria; Squamata; Lacertidae.